GGCGCAGUGGCGAAGUGGAAACGCUGGGGUCUGCAAAACCUCGACGCGAGGGUUCGAUUCCCUCCUGCGCCUCCA
This 75-nucleotide transfer RNA is filed under the name candidate division WWE3 bacterium. RNAcentral's name for it is "tRNA-Cys". It matches the Rfam family "tRNA". Rfam says of the family: Transfer RNA (tRNA) molecules are approximately 80 nucleotides in length. Their secondary structure includes four short double-helical elements and three loops (D, anti-codon, and T loops). The record is from RNAcentral. Lineage: Bacteria; candidate division WWE3.